CACAAGAGAAGAUAUUUGGAAAGGGGAUUUAGGGUUCAUUACCUUGUGACGAAUCAGAUUACCUCUGAAGGACUCGUCUCUCUCUCCCGCGCGAAGGCACAGACGGCGGCCGGAAUCGUCGUCCCGUCUCCGAUUACUCACUCCGCGUCACUCUCCGAAUCAAGUUCUCCUCACUUCAAUCUCUCUCGUCUCUGUUUCUUCACUUCUGCGUUUAUGCCAUUGGCGAUGAUGAUGUUAAGAUAGUUGAAGCUGUGGAGGAAGUUCAGUAUGAUGAAGAACGUGAAGAAGAUCGUUAUGAAGAAAAGAUGAUGAAGGUGUUGAUUGCGACGGCGAAGAAGCUAAAGAUUAUGUGUUGUUUUGAGGUUUUGAAGGUCGAAGAUCGAUGGAGAGUGCCGAGAAGAAGAUCGAGAGCGAGAGCAAGAGUUUGUUUUAUGAAUUGAAGAUGGAGGGAGAGUGAGAGUUGAUGGUGGCUGAUUGAAGGAUGAAGAAGUGUGAAGGUUGAAAGUUGCAGAGAGAGUUGAAGGGAGAAGAUGAAGAAGAGGUGGGAGAGAUGGCGUAGAGUGGUGGAGACGGGUGCGUGUGCUAUGGUGAAUGAAUGUGGAAGAUUGAAGGUUAAUGGUGGUUGGAGUUGCAGAGAUUGAAAGAGAGGAAGAAGAAACUGCUGAAGGAGGUGGAAGAGGACAUUGAGGUGGUGCAGUUGCUGUUAUAUAGAGGUUGGAGGUUAGAAUUCAGUUAUGGGGUUUUAAUCUGAGCCAAUGAUUGGGGAAAGGUUGUUACAUGAUUGAAGGGUGAGGAUUGAAUCUGCUCAAAGUGACAUAGCCUGCCCGGUUUAAGUUUCAAUCUGCACGAUGGCAUUGCUUGUAUGGAUGUUGGUUAUUGUCACAUACUGGUUUGGAUGCACGCAACAGAUACUGAAUUUCGGACAGAUUUCUCCGAGACUAACCGUGAUGCUGUAGGAACUCCCCAGUAUUUUGUAUGUCCAUAAUUCUCUUACCUGAUCUGACUUUGAAUGUUGAUUAGUGUCGAAUGGACUGUUUUUUGUAACUGUUUUUUUUGUGACUGUUAGAAAUGGUAUGGCUGAAUGUUGCAGGGCUGUGUUUGUAUUGUUUAUGUCCAGUUUUCCUCUUCCAACUUUCAAUUGUUAUGACUCUGAUAUUUUGGGGCUUUCUUUGGUUGAAUUGUGAGUAGCAUGAACAUGAGUGUAUUGUGGUACUUAUCUUGAGUGUAUGCUGACUGGUUUUUACGUCUUUCCGUGGCAGGUUCAUGGAGAAAAAUGAAGGAGAAUUUGCUUGAAGAAUUGAAGAAAGAAGUUUAGGGUUAGGAACAAAAGACUCGAACGAAAAUCAUUAGUUUUGUUGUAACAUUCUUCAUAAAUUAUGUAACUUUUGGUAUAAGAUGAAAUGGAUUUUUGUAAUGAAUUCGAAUUGUAAAUGUAACCGACUUUCGGGGCAUAUGUACAUGUAUGAACAAUUAUUUUUGUGA
Long non-coding RNA from Vicia villosa (hairy vetch), 1482 nucleotides. RefSeq lists it as uncharacterized. The record is from RefSeq and is a predicted model, not a curated record. Lineage: Eukaryota; Viridiplantae; Streptophyta; Magnoliopsida; Fabales; Fabaceae. The transcript is spliced from 4 exons.